This is a long non-coding RNA of Amphimedon queenslandica, 252 nucleotides long. RefSeq lists it as uncharacterized. Lineage: Eukaryota; Metazoa; Porifera; Demospongiae; Haplosclerida; Niphatidae. The transcript is spliced from 2 exons. The record is from RefSeq and is a predicted model, not a curated record.
AAUAAUUGCCCUGAUGGUGAUCGUGUGGAAGAGAUAGUCUGGCCACCCUAUGGAAGAGACUAGUCCUAUCUACAGUCAAUAAUUGAACUCACUGGAGGAGGUGACCAGUAAAGGGACUAUAGCAUCACUAGUGUCCAGUGUCAAUGAAUAUAUUAAUAAUAAAUCUAACAUGGAGGACACUGUCAAAAGUGAGCAUGAUUGCAGGCAACUGGUGAAGGACUUAAGGAAACAAUUGGUUGAAGUGAAAAGAGA